This 230-nucleotide ribosomal RNA is filed under the name uncultured bacterium. RNAcentral describes it as "partial 16S ribosomal RNA". It matches the Rfam family "Bacterial small subunit ribosomal RNA", at positions 260 to 504 of the family's 1533-position model. The record is from RNAcentral.
ACAGCCCACCAAGGCGACGAUCGGUAGCCGACCUGAGAGGGUGAUCGGCCACAUUGGAACUGAGAGACGGUCCAGACUCCUACGGGAGGCAGCAGUGGGGAAUAUUGGGCAAUGGGCGAAAGCCUGACCCAGCAACGCCGCGUGAGGGAAGAAGGGUUUCGGCUCGUAAACCUCUGUCCUAUGGGACGAAGGGAGUGACGGUACCAUAGGAGGAAGCCCCGGCUAACUAC